This 249-nucleotide long non-coding RNA is filed under the name Olea europaea subsp. europaea. The record is from RNAcentral. Lineage: Eukaryota; Viridiplantae; Streptophyta; Magnoliopsida; Lamiales; Oleaceae.
GUGUUUAAAUCCAAGNUAAUUUGCCACAGUUUCGUUUUCUGGUUUCCAGAAUUCAAGAUUCAAAUUCAUGAUUUCAAGAUUAAAGAUGCCAAAAACGAAAUCAAACUAAAAAAUUAUAAUCAAAAUAUAUACGCAGAACAUUCAAGACUCGAAAGGAGUUUUGUUCAAGGGUAGAAGACAAUUGGGGAUUUCGAGAAGUGCUGGCUGAGCUGCGCGGAAUUAGGCACAUGUCUCUAACUCGAAUACUAA